RNAcentral lists this ribosomal RNA (469 nucleotides) under uncultured bacterium. Its description in RNAcentral is "partial 16S ribosomal RNA". It matches the Rfam family "Bacterial small subunit ribosomal RNA", at positions 28 to 507 of the family's 1533-position model. The record is from RNAcentral.
GACGAACGCUGGCGGCGUGCUUAACACAUGCAAGUCGAACGGAAAGGCCCUGCUUGCAGGGUGCUCGAGUGGCGAACGGGUGAGUAACACGUGGGUGAUCUGCCCCUUACUUUGGGAUAAGCCUGGGAAACUGGGUCUAAUACUGGAUAGGACCAUGCUGUAGGUGGUGUGGUGGAAAGAUUAGUUUCGGUAAGGGAUGAGCUCGCGGCCUAUCAGCUUGUUGGUGGGGUAAUGGCCUACCAAGGCGUCGACGGGUAGCCGGCCUGAGAGGGUGGACGGCCACAUUGGGACUGAGAUACGGCCCAGAGUCCUACGGGAGGCAGCAGUGGGGAAUAUUGCACAAUGGGCGCAAGCCUGAUGCAGCGACGCCGCGUGGGGGAUGACGGCCUUCGGGUUGUAAACUCCUUUCAGCCAUGACGAAGCCCUUGUGGUGACGGUAGUGGUAGAAGAAGCACCGGCUAACUACGUG